UUCUUGAUGAUACACCAUCCAGUUAAGAACCAGUGGCUUUAUAGGAGAUUUAAGUAUGGCAACUCAUGUGCAUAGUCCUAGGCAUGGGAACCUGAAGAGACAGUUAGAUGGCCACGCCUUGGAAGCCAGUCUGUGUUAUAUAGCUGUUGUUGCACUGAGGACUGAUUCCAGGGCCUCAGAUACACUAGGGAAGUACUCUACCUAUGAAGAUGCCACAGCUGCCAAGGAGGCCACAGAAGGAAGCAAAACUGACGGAAACAAAACUAUCUCGGACUAGACCAUGCCUAAUGGUGAAGAUAGCAUUGCAGGUCACAGGGGAGGCCACAGGGUUUCCUAGAAGGCAGGGGUGACAGGCUACAAAGAAAGAAGUCUGACUCUCGCCCCUCACCCAUUCUGUCCUUGUCUACCCUCUUCCAUUUGAAACAAAUGUUUUCACUGUCACCCAUUAGAUGGCAGAGCCAUUUCAAGACA
Molecule: long non-coding RNA, 471 nt
Organism: Mastomys coucha (southern multimammate mouse)
Lineage: Eukaryota; Metazoa; Chordata; Mammalia; Rodentia; Muridae
Exons: 3
Source: RefSeq, a predicted model, not a curated record